This 3235-nucleotide long non-coding RNA is filed under the name Homo sapiens (human). RNAcentral's name for it is "HSALNT0135465". Lineage: Eukaryota; Metazoa; Chordata; Mammalia; Primates; Hominidae. The record is from RNAcentral.
GUGAUGGCGAUUUUCAACUCAUUCCCGUUACAAACAGCCGACCUUCCUACCGAGUUCAAGUACCUUCUGCCUGGCCUGGAAGAACAAUAUCUCUCUGUCUCCCUCUUCCACUGGCCCUCACCUGCCUUCCCCUGAACAUGCAUUUUGCCUGACAGGAGACAGAGGCAGUUGAUGCUUGCAGCUUGGUCCAGGAGGCCAGCAGGACCAGAGAGAAGACCACAGCGACACAUGGGGAUGGCUGUCCCACAGGCAGAAAUGAGCAGCCGGGAGGAAGCCCAGGCAGCCAGCCACCCAGCUCCCUCCACAUCGUGGCCCUAGAACGGAGUCUUGAAGAAUAAGAAGCCACAGCUUGUCAGGGAAUCAGGCUGGAAAAAUGUUAUGAGACUGAGUAAGACCAGAGGAUUCCUCAGCAGUGCCUGGAGAAGACCAGGAGAGGAAGCAGAAGACCCUCCUCAAAGAAGCAGCCUUCACCUCCAGACCUCCCAGCGGGACUUAGACAAUGGGGUUAGGCAGUCACAUGUCUGCACGUGGAAACUUUCUGGGACUGUGCUUGGAUCCUGGCUCUGCCUUUUACUAGCCAUGUGACCUUGGGAAAAUCACUUGACUUCUCCGUGCAGGAUUCCUCAUCUGUAAAAAUGGUCUAAGAUUAGGAGCCACCUCAAGGUUGUUGUAGGAAUUAAAUUAAUUCAUGUUUAUAAAGUGCUUUGAACAGCGUUUGGCACAUGGAGAAUUAAAUGAGCAAACGGAAGAGCAGCAACCCUGAGUUACAUUUCUCAAGACACCGGGGCUCUUGAUGGCACAGCAGCAGCUUGCUAGAGCUUGGUAAAGAGACUUGGGCCUGGUACCUGAAGGGCAAUUCCUUGGCCAUGACAUUGUAGGGAAAGACCUCUAUGGGUGUUGAAAAGACAAGGCGAGGACAAGAAGAGUUGAAAAGGAGCUGUUCUGAAGCCACCUGGCUGUGGAUGGAGGAAGCCACAUGUAGCUUAGGUAGCCUGCUAUUGUAAUUUUUUCUGCAACUGAAGAAUUCGAAAUGGGUUUGGUGGGUAGCGAAGGGCAGAAUCUGGCUUCAAGGUGACAGAGUUUGCAUAGAGAUGGCCUUCUUGAGCAAAGGUAGUGACUCCUACAUUUUUUUUUUUUGUAGAGUUGUGAUACCCAUGAGUUAGUCAGCUUGGGCUAUCAUAACAAAAUACCACACAUUGGUUGGCUUAAACAACAGAAAUUCAUUUUCCUGUAAUUCUGGAGGCUGGAAGUCCAAGAUCAAGGUGACGACAGAGUUGGGUUUCCUCUGAAGCCUCUCUCCUUGGUUUUCAGAUGGGUGUCCUCUUGCUGUCUCUUCAUGUGACUGUCCCUCUGCAUGUGUGCCCCUGGGGACUCUUUCUUAUCUUAUAGUGACACUAGUUCUAUUGGAUUGAAGUGUACCCAUACGACCUCAUUUAAACUUAAUUACAUAUUGUAAGGCCCUAACUUCAAAUACAGUCACAUCCUGAGGUACUGUGUAUUAGGGCUUCAACAUAUAAAUUUUGGGGCAAUCCAGUUCAGCCCAUAAAAUCCCUUUUUGGUUGCUUGAUUCUGUUUAUUUGGUGUCAUGCCUUCCUUUUCCUAAAGAACUUCAUGAAUAGAAUUACUUUCUAAGUGAAAGGAACAAAACUGAUUUUUAUUAAAAAUUAUUUUGAGAUGCUUGUGACAAAUUUUGAAGUAAGUGAAGAUUUUCCUGGAGCUUCUACAAAAUCCUGGCUGAGAAUCCCUGCUUUCUGGACAGUUGAGAAGGAAAUACACUUAGUACAGCUGUUAGAGAGAUAUAGUUGCAACCACUGAGUGCUUAUUAUCUGCCAACUUAAAUAUAUUGCCCAAGGGAAUAACAAAUAUUCUAGUGUUCUUGUUAAGUAUAUUGUCUAAGGUCACACAGCUCUUAAACAACAGCUUCAGGAUUUGAACCUGGAAUCUAUCUGACUCCUAAGUCCAGAUGCUGUUCACCACAUUAGGUUGAAGCAUGGCCAGUGUUCAUAACAUACAACUAUGUCUCCAUAUCUUUUGCUAACCAAUGUUCUUGUAUGUGCAUACCUUACAGGGCAGCCAUUCACCACAAGCCCUACUAGAUGGCUUCCUGUAAUAAGGGUAGAACAGUAGUACUCUCCUUUUGAGAAGUUAUUUGUAAUUUUGUUGGUGGGCUGACAUUUAGGCCCUGCUCUCCAGCCCCAGAGGGGAUCCCAUAACCUAGAUCAGGCCAAUGAUGAUUAUCUCCGUGACUGUAGUGGCUGGUCCAGCGGGGAGGGUCAGGCAGGUAAGCUGGCCCAACCUGAGUCCUUCUUGAGGAUUUUAGAAACUGAAGGUAGGAGAGAAAAAUUCUCUCUUUUCUUCUGGGGAACGGGAUGAAGGUGGUGGGUAGGCAGAGCUGUUGGGAUGUGGAUCCAGGGAUUCUGGAAGUCCUGUCCUCCACCAUGUAAAGAAUACAUCCUGCAGAAGGAGAGAAGGGAGCCAGCACACAGAGAAGCAGAGUCAGGAGAUGGAGAAGGAGAAUCCUGAGAGCCUGAAGGUCCCUGGGUCCAGCCAUUGUCAAGGCCGAGUUCUACCGUCCUUAAGUUGUUUACCUUUCUUUCUUGCUUGCUUCUGUUAGAAGAUGAACACUCAAUGAAAAAUCACCAAACAUCUGAGGAAAGCCAUCAAAAUGAAAUAAACGAAACACACAAGUUCCUAAACACAAGUGAACAGCGUGGGCUGGGUUUUUGUCGCUUGGAACUGGAAACGCUGACGAUAAUGCUGACCUCUGAGCAGACCCACGUGAGGGGCAGCUGUGGUGUGGUGUGAUGAUGCUGGGAUAGGCACUCAGAUGGUUGAGUCUGAGUUUGGCUCUGAUAUUAUAUCAACUGCAUGGGCAGCUGUGGUGUGGUGUGAUGAUGCUGGGAUAGGCACUCAGAUGGUUGAGUCUGAGUUUGGCUCUGAUAUUAUAUCAACUGCAUGGGCAGCUGUGGUGUGGUGUGAUGAUGCUGGGAUAGGCACUCAGAUGGUUGAGUCUGAGUUUGGCUCUGAUAUUAUAUCAACUGCAUGGGCAGCUGUGGUGUGGUGUGAUGAUGCUGGGAUAGGCACUCAGAUGGUUGAGUCUGAGUUUGGCUCUGAUAUUAUAUCAACCGCAUCAUUUUGGGGAAGACACAAUUUCUCAGAAUUUUAUUUAGUUGUAAAAUAAAGAUAAUGAUAUUACAUGCUCUGUCUACCAUCUAGAGUUUUUGUCAAGACAAAC